AUGCAGAACAGGGUUUGGACCGUGGACCGGCUGUCCAAGCGGGAUUGGCCAAACUGUGUCCCUUGCCCUCUUUGCAAGCAGGUCCAGGAGUCCGUCGACCACCUUCUCUUCAACUGUAGGUUCACGGUCAGAGUUUGGGGCAUGCUCAAGGCAUGGUUGCAGCUUGAUCACCUUGACACCUGUUCCCGGCACCUCUUUCGGUCCACUAGGGAAUGGUGGAUUGGGCUCUCAGACAAUUCGGUGCCAAAUAGGAAGGCCAUGGCCUCCCUUGUCAUGCUAGCCUCCUGGACCAUCUGGAAUGAGCGAAAUGCUCGCGUCUUCCAUCAAAAACGCGCCGCCAAUGGUUCUCCUAGAUAA
This 357-nucleotide ribosomal RNA is filed under the name Triticum aestivum (bread wheat). RNAcentral's name for it is "partial small subunit ribosomal RNA". The record is from RNAcentral. Lineage: Eukaryota; Viridiplantae; Streptophyta; Magnoliopsida; Poales; Poaceae.